RNAcentral lists this ribosomal RNA (1233 nucleotides) under metagenome. RNAcentral's name for it is "bacterial LSU rRNA". It matches the Rfam family "Bacterial large subunit ribosomal RNA", at positions 1678 to 2925 of the family's 2925-position model. The record is from RNAcentral.
AUCCUAAGGCCGGCGGAAGAAGCAUUGUCAAGGAACUCGGCAAAAUGGCCCCGUAACUUAGGGAUAAGGGGUGCCUGGGAAACCAGGCCGCAGAGAAUAGGCUCAAGCAACUGUUUAGCAAAAACACAGGUCUAUGCGAAACCGAAAGGUGAGGUAUAUGGGCUGACGCCUGCCCGGUGCUGGAAGGUUAAGAGGAGAGGUUAGCGGUAACGCGAAGCUUUGAAUUUAAGCCCCAGUAAACGGCGGCCGUAACGAUAACGGUCCUAAGGUAGCGAAAUUCCUUGUCGGGUAAGUUCCGACCCGCACGAAAGGCGUAAUGAUUUGAGCGCUGUCUCGACAAUGCAUCCGGUGAAAUUGAAGUACCAGUGAAGAUGCUGGUUACCUGCGCCAGGACGGAAAGACCCCAUGGAGCUUUACUCCAGUCUGGUACUGGGACUCGGUAUUGCAUGUACAGGAUAGGUGGGAGGCUAGGAGAUGGUAACGCCAGUUGCCAUGGAGCCGCUGUUGGGAUACCACCCUUGCAGUAUUGGGUUUCUAACCAGCCGCCGUGACCCGGCGGUGGGACAAUGCCAGACGGGGAGUUUGACUGGGGCGGUCGCCUCCGAAAGGGUAUCGGAGGCGCCCAAAGGUUCCCUCAGAAUGGACGGAAACCAUUCGAAGAGUGCAAAGGCAGAAGGGAGCUUGACUGCGACACCGACGGGUGGAGCAGGUACGAAAGUAGGGCUUAGUGAUCCGGUGGUAUUAAGUGGGAAUGCCAUCGCUCAACGGAUAAAAGCUACCCUGGGAUAACAGGCUUAUCACUCCCAAGAGUUCACAUCGACGGAGUGGUUUGGCACCUCGAUGUCGGCUCAUCGCAUCCUGGGGCUGUAGUAGGUCCCAAGGGUUGGGCUGUUCGCCCAUUAAAGCGGUACGCGAGCUGGGUUCAGAACGUCGUGAGACAGUUCGGUCCCUAUCCGGCGUGGGCGUAGGAUAUCUGAGAGGAGCUGUCCUUAGUACGAGAGGACCGGGAUGGACGGGCCGCUGGUGCAUCGGUUAGACUGCCAAGUCUACGGCCGAGUAGCCAAGCCCGGAAGGGAUAAACGCUAAAGGCAUCUAAGCGUGAAGCCCCCCUUAAGAUGAGAUAUCCCAUUCGAAAGAAGUAAACCCCCUUGAAGACGACGAGGUAGAUAGGGCAGAGGUGGAAGUGCAGCAAUGCAUGGAGCUGACUGUUACUAAUCGGGUGAGGGCUUGAUC